Non-coding RNA from Anas platyrhynchos (mallard), 2849 nucleotides. The record is from RefSeq and is a predicted model, not a curated record. NCBI's taxonomy places the organism in Eukaryota, Metazoa, Chordata, Aves, Anseriformes, Anatidae.
CAUACAUAUUGGGCUCACUGACUCAGCGAGAAAGCACUUGUGGCUUAUGGCAGCCCAUCCACUGUGGACUUUCAGCUCCAAAUAGAAGGGACCACGUGUCGAUACUCCAGUUUUCUCCAGCAAUCUAGACUUUCCUCUCCAGUGGAUAGAUGAGCAUGUUGGACUAUGAAGUGGGUGCCACUGAGGCAGAAGGAAUGUUCUCUGAGGCCUGCUGGUGGACAGCUGGAGGGCAGGGCAUCGAGAGGAACAUCUCUGUUGACCUUGGUACAAAUCAGGAAAUCCUCCAGGAUCCUUAGGAAAUCCCAGUUCUGAGAAACCAGCCACACUGUGUUGCAGGCUUGUGAAGAGGCUUCUGCAAGGUUCAAGCUCUGUGGCCCCAGACUAUGUAUGUGAAGCACACUGGUGCACCAGAAUUCAAUUCCUGUGUGUCACUCUUUGUCAUGAGGAGCUGAUCAAAGUCAUAGAGUUCAGAGAGCCUUCUGAGGAACAGUUGUGUCUGGAGACCUAAAGAAAGAUUACACCCUAAAUGUGUUGUAUCCUGUAAAUAAACAUUGCAAGUUAUAGUUCACCUAAUAUGGAAUGAAUAAACACGGUGGAGAAAAACUAAUAUUAUUAUCCUCAUGCAAACUUAGAGUGUUGAAAUACAGCAACAUCAUCCACUUACGUCUGCAGUAGUGAUCAAAAUUGACACACGGGGCCUGACAGGUCUACCUUCCUGAGGACUGAUGUGCUGGUGUACACAGGAGGAAAGAUGGAACAGGGCGAUGACAUUCUGGGUGCUGAGGAAAGAGCUCAGUUUGAAAGCUUCAAAGGGGCUGUGAGGUCCUGGACUCAGAAGUAAGUCAUUUGAUUUUUCUUCAGAAAUGGAAAACUCAAUUUCCUCUUAUGAACUCCUCUACUGUUAGAAACCAUUGAGAGUGACAGAGCCUGAGGCUUCUUCUAACCUGGCAUCUUCACAGAGGGUGGCUCUUCUGGGUUUUCAUCAGCUGCCUACAGCAUGGGAGACAUCCCAUAUUAAAUUCCCUUGCAUAUCCCAGAAAAGUGCCAUAAUCACCAGGCUUUGUUUGGACUGGAUUGGAGGACAAGAAGGAAGCACAAAGCAGAGGAGCUGGAGGAAAGCACUGUCCCAGUCUAAAUGUUCCUGUCAAAUUCACAAUAUAGCCCAGGAGUCUGGGCACCCCUCUGUGAGCUGGAGCCUUGGGUCCCUUGACGAGAUGAGGUACAGCGAGGACUUAAGCCUUCCUACUCCCUGCCAGCAGGGGCUGUAGACAGUGGAUAAUUGUUUGUACAUGUAUUCUGACCAGAAAUUCUUUCCACAUUGAAACAGUAUAUACACUAUUGUUGAGGGCUUUCUUUCACAAACUGAUUUUUUUAUUUUAAAAAUGAAUCCCUUUAAACAUUCCCGGCCAGCUCCACAGUGUAUGUGCUGAAGACAUGACUACAUACACAUUUUUACUUCAAUAUUAUUGUCUUGUUGUUGUUGUUGUUCUGUUGAAGUUUUUUCUGUCUGAUCCAAUGUCAAAAUUACAAAGACCAUGUGAUGCAAGUAUUACAGUGUCUUACCUCGUACAUACAUAGAGUGUGAUUUUCAGAACAUCACGUCCAUGGUUUCCCAGCUUCAGGCACAUGCAGAAUUUUUGUUGUCCAGUUGAGCUUUUGUACAAUUAGUCACUCCAUACUUUUUUUACAGCCAUUACAGCAAGGGCAUGAAUCUUAUUUUUCUCUAAAUAAUAUCAUGGAUUUCAAUUCAACAGUGGCAAGAAUGUAACAUUCCUUCUGCAAAAUUUGUUCUUGCACAUUAAAACUGAUCAUAGUCAACAGAAAAUAAGUCUGUUUUUCCAAGAAAUAAUCAUUUAAGCCAGGUCUUAGCUAUGUCGUAUUGGAAUGACAACAGCCUACUCAGAUAUAUGUUUACUGCAUGCUGUCCUGUCUGCUAAUACAGGACAUCUCCAUUAACACUGAGGGGCAGCGGAAGCCCUUCCAGAAUGAAACUCUAUGUGAACUCAUUUAUUUUGUUCUUGCUGUGGGGAUAUCGCCUACUGAUUGACUGUACCCUGUAGUGCCAUGGCUGGACACCUGUCCAUGAGUAGGGACAGGUUAUACAGAACAGCUGGAUUGGUCAAAUCUUCAACCAGAUGGGCAGUAAGUUUGAUCACUGUUGCUUACCGGUCUGGGAUCAAACUUGCAGGUAACUGGAGUAUGUCAUGCUGCCUGGCAGGGCUUUAACUUGCAGACUUAACUUUUCUCAGGAGAAAACUAUGCCAGAUUCUGGCCUUUGAAGAUUUCGGUAAACUUCUUUUUCAGGAAAAAAAAAAAAAAGGUUGCCAACUGGGAUUUUUCAUGAGUUGUCUGCUUUUCAAAGAUCUUUAUGAAAGGGGCUUAGUUAAGGGCAUUGCUGAGGGAAACUAAUUAUAAUUUUCAAAUAUGUUAGACUUAAAUAAACAUUUAAUUAAAGUGAGACCAGCUCUUUCAGCCAUUGCCUGUCUUCUCAUUUUUGUAGAGUUGAGGAGUUCUGGGGAAUUCCUGAUAUUACAUUUUUUUUGACAGUGUCAGCAAAUUCUUCAAACUAACCUUCAGUACUUCCUUUCUUUUCUCUUCCCUCCCUCCCAACUCCUUUUCUCAGAGACUUUAGCCUACUUUUUGUCUCUUAAUUUUCCAUUUUCCCUCUAAUUCUUGCAACCUCCAGUCUCCUCCUGACCUUUCCCUCCUUGCCCAUUACUCCCUGAUCCUUUCCCCAUGUUUUUCUUUCCCAGUCUCUCUUUCCCCAAACCAUCUGAAACUCACCCACAAGCAGGGUUAUAUCCCCAGUAGCCUCUCCCUAGAGAAUGCCCUGAAACAUUAGCUCUCAG